UCAGCCCUACGGGGGGCAGCAGUAGGGAAUCUUCCACAAUGGGCGAAAGCCUGAUGGAGCAACGCCGCGUGGGUGAAGAAGGUCUUCGGAUCGUAAAACCCUGUUGUUAGAGAAGAAAGUGCGUGAGAGUAACUGUUCACGUUUCGACGGUAUCUAACCAGAAAGCCACGGCUAACUACGUGCCAGCAGCCGCGGUAAUACGUAGGUGGCAAGCGUUAUCCGGAUUUAUUGGGCGUAAAGGGAACGCAGGCGGUCUUUUAAGUCUGAUGUGAAAGGCCGGGGCUCAACCCCG
Molecule: ribosomal RNA, 292 nt
Filed under: uncultured bacterium
Lineage: Bacteria
Description: partial 16S ribosomal RNA
Rfam family: Bacterial small subunit ribosomal RNA
Source: RNAcentral